GUGAGGAAUAUUGGUCAAUGGGCGAGAGCCUGAACCAGCCAAAUCGCGUGAAGGAUGAAGGUAUUAUGUAUUGUAAACUUCUUUUAUCGGGGAAUAAAGUGCGGGACGUGUCCCGUUUUGUAUGUACCCGAAGAAUAAGGAUCGGCUAACUCCGUGCCAGCAGCCGCGGUAAUACGGAGGAUCCAAGCGUUAUCCGGAUUUAUUGGGUUUAAAGGGUGCGUAGGCGGACUGUCAAGUCAGCGGUGAAAGUCCAUGGCUCAACCAUGGAAUUGCCGUUGAAACUGUCGGUCUUGAGUGUAGAUGAGGUAGGCGGAAUUCGUAGUGUAGCGGUGAAAUGCUUAGAUAUUACGAAGAACUCCAAUUGCGUAGGCAGCUUACCAGGCUACAACUGACGCUGAGGCACGAAGGUGCGGGGAUCAAACAGGAUUAGAAACCCCAGUAGUCC
This 445-nucleotide ribosomal RNA is filed under the name uncultured bacterium. RNAcentral's name for it is "partial 16S ribosomal RNA". It matches the Rfam family "Bacterial small subunit ribosomal RNA", at positions 354 to 796 of the family's 1533-position model. The record is from RNAcentral.